GAUGAAGAACGCAGCGAAACGCGAUAGUUAAUGUGAAUUGCAGAAUUCAGUGAAUCAUCGAGUCUUUGAACGCACAUUGCGCCCAUUGGUAUUCCAUUGGGCAUAUCUGUUUGAGCGUCAUUACAAAAAACAUCUCAGCGUUUUUAAGCUGGUGGGUUAUGGGCUUCUAUUUCUCUUUUAUAAGAAAUAGGCUUGAAAGUUAGUACGCUUUGCAGGCUGCUUUGCCAAACUAAAAACAUAGUAAAUUUAUUCUUUGUUUCUAAUAAGGUUUUGCACGCUCUGCCUGAAGAAAAAAAUUUUUUUUUUUUCAAAAGGUUUGACCUCAAAUCAGAUAAGGAUACCCGCUGAACUUAAGCAUAUCAAUAAGCGGAGGA
Molecule: unclassified non-coding RNA, 374 nt
Filed under: soil metagenome
Description: partial contains 5.8S ribosomal RNA, internal transcribed spacer 2, and large subunit ribosomal RNA
Rfam family: 5.8S ribosomal RNA (bases 1-120)
Source: RNAcentral